Molecule: long non-coding RNA, 861 nt
Organism: Bos taurus (domestic cattle)
Lineage: Eukaryota; Metazoa; Chordata; Mammalia; Artiodactyla; Bovidae
Source: Ensembl
GGGUGGGAGGGUCUUUAAACACAGGAUUAGAUACAGCCAGGCUGCAGGUGAUGCCCUAGGGAGGGUGCAUCAUCCCAUCCCAGGGAAGGGUCUUCCCAGUUGAUGAACCCACCCUGAAUCCUGAGAGCAAGAGAGCCCUUUUAAUGAGGUCCAGUGGUUCUGGGACUUGGGCUUAUAUCAGAAUCACCUGCAGAUCUCCAAGACCUGAAAGAGGACUUCUCAGAAUCCUGACUCUGAAUUUGGUCUCAACAUCUGUUUUCUGCAGCUUCUCUCAAGCUCAGAGUUUUCUUAUGCCAGCCUCAAACUGUGCAGAUUCUGACCCUGGGACUUGUUCUUCCCUGUAAGAGCAUCCCUUUGAGCCUGAGGUGUGGACACUGUCUUUGAUUCUUAAGCAUUUAAAAAAUUUUUAUUGGAGUAUAUAGUACUUGAUUUACAAUGUUGUGUUAGUUUCAGGUAUACUUGAUCUUUUAUUUUUUAUUUAUAUUUUGUCCAAAUUUAUGACCCAAAUACUUCAGAAAUUUUUCUUUUGAAAAAAGUAAUUCUCAGUAUGGAUAUUUUCUUUUUUAAAUCUCUAAAUGGUUAAACAAAUGCCUACUACAUGACUUUUUUGGAGAUAUACAAAAAAUGUUUGCAUCUCAAUGGAAAAUAUGCAUUGACUACUGCAUACCCUUUUGAGUUAUCAGAUUAUAGCCCUGUUCGUUUUCUUUGAGCUGUUUUGCAACUCUUUCUAAAUUAUAGGUAACUGAUAUGUAAAUUUCAUCUUGUCAGGUGGUGAUUUUAAUUGACUUCCUCCCCUCUGUGGAAAAACAAGCUUUGUCUCUGCAGUUAAGUGACAUAAUAAAUGUUUUUUUAUUGUGUAAA